RNAcentral lists this transfer RNA (85 nucleotides) under Felis catus (domestic cat). It matches the Rfam family "tRNA". Rfam says of the family: Transfer RNA (tRNA) molecules are approximately 80 nucleotides in length. Their secondary structure includes four short double-helical elements and three loops (D, anti-codon, and T loops). Lineage: Eukaryota; Metazoa; Chordata; Mammalia; Carnivora; Felidae. RNAcentral also lists the same sequence under 1 other name. The record is from Rfam by way of RNAcentral.
ACCUGGGUGGCUCAGUCGGUUAAGCGUCUGACUUCGGCUCAGGUCAUGAUCUCACGGUUCGUGGGUUCGAGCCCCGCGUCAGGCU